RNAcentral lists this microRNA (23 nucleotides) under Salmo salar (Atlantic salmon). RNAcentral's name for it is "ssa-miR-92a-5p". Its record names the gene ssa-miR-92a-5p. Lineage: Eukaryota; Metazoa; Chordata; Actinopteri; Salmoniformes; Salmonidae. The record is from miRBase by way of RNAcentral.
AGGUUGGGAUAGGCAGCAAUGCU